This 802-nucleotide ribosomal RNA is filed under the name uncultured bacterium. RNAcentral's name for it is "bacterial SSU rRNA". It matches the Rfam family "Bacterial small subunit ribosomal RNA", at positions 8 to 796 of the family's 1533-position model. The record is from RNAcentral.
AGAGUUUGAUCCUGGCUCAGAUUGAACGCUGGCGGCAUGCCUAACACAUGCAAGUCGAGCGGCAGCAUGAUGUGUAGCAAUACACAUUGAUGGCGAGCGGCGGACGGGUGAGUAAUGUAUGGGGAUCUGCCCAGUAGCGGGGGGACAACCCGGAGAAAUCCGGGCUAAUACCGCAUACGCCCUACGGGGGAAAGCGGAGGACCGAAAGGCUUCGCACUAUUGGAGGAACCCAUACCCGAUUAGCUAGUUGGUGAGGUAACGGCUCACCAAGGCGACGAUCGGUAGCUGGUCUGAGAGGACGAUCAGCCACACCGGAACUGAGACACGGUCCGGACUCCUACGGGAGGCAGCAGUGGGGAAUAUUGGACAAUGGGGGAAACCCUGAUCCAGCAAUGCCGCGUGGGUGAAGAAGGCCUGCGGGUUGUAAAGCCCUUUCGGUGAAGACAAAACGCGACGUGCUAAUACCACGUUGUUUUGAUUUAACUCACUAAAGAAGCACCGGCUAACUCUGUGCCAGCAGCCGCGGUAAUACAGAGGGUGCGAGCGUUAAUCGGAAUUACUGGGCGUAAAGCGCACGUAGGUGGCUUGAUAAGUUGGAUGUGAAAUCCCCGAGCUUAACUUGGGAAUUGCAUUCAAGACUGUCUUGCUAGAGUGUGGAAGAGGGAAGCGGAAUUCCAGGUGUAGCGGUGAAAUGCGUAGAUAUCUGGAGGAACAUCAGUGGCGAAGGCGGCUUCCUGGUCCAACACUGACACUGAGGUGCGAAAGCGUGGGGAGCAAACAGGAUUAGAUACCCUAGUAGUCC